UGGGGAAUAUUGGACAAUGGGCGAGAGCCUGAUCCAGCAAUGCCGCGUGAGUGAUGAAGGCCUUAGGGUUGUAAAGCUCUUUUACCAGGGAUGAUAAUGACAGUACCUGGAGAAUAAGCUCCGGCUAACUCCGUGCCAGCAGCCGCGGUAAUACGGAGGGAGCUAGCGUUGUUCGGAAUUACUGGGCGUAAAGCGUACGUAGGCGGUGACUCAAGUCAGAGGUGAAAGCCUGGAGCUCAACUCCAGAACUGCCUUUGAAACUAGGUCGCUAGAAUCACGGAGAGGUGAGUGGAAUUCCGAGUGUAGAGGUGAAAUUCGUAGAUAUUCGGAAGAACACCAGUGGCGAAGGCGGCUCACUGGACGUGUAUUGACGCUGAGGUACGAAAGCGUGGGGAGCAAACAGGAUUAGAUACCCUUGUAGUCCCUGAGCGGGCUGGCAAGGCGCAU
This 447-nucleotide ribosomal RNA is filed under the name uncultured bacterium. RNAcentral's name for it is "bacterial SSU rRNA". It matches the Rfam family "Bacterial small subunit ribosomal RNA", at positions 355 to 825 of the family's 1533-position model. The record is from RNAcentral.